AUUGGACGCUGGCGGCAGGCCUAACACAUGCAAGUCGAGCGGAUGAAGGGAGCUUGCUCCUGGAUUCAGCGGCGGACGGGUGAGUAAUGCCUAGGAAUCUGCCUGGUAGUGGGGGAUAACGUCCGGAAACGGGCGCUAAUACCGCAUACGUCCUGAGGGAGAAAGUGGGGGAUCUUCGGACCUCACGCUAUCAGAUGAGCCUAGGUCGGAUUAGCUAGUUGGUGGGGUAAAGGCCUACCAGGGCGACGAUCCGUAACUGGUCUGAGAGGAUGAUCAGUCACACUGGAACUGAGACACGGUCCAGACUCCUACGGGAGGCAGCAGUGGGGAAUAUUGGACAAUGGGCGAAAGCCUGAUCCAGCCAUGCCGCGUGUGUGAAGAAGGUCUUCGGAUUGUAAAGCACUCUAAGUUGGGAGGAAGGGCAGUAAGUUAAUACCUUGCUGUUUUGACGUUACCAACAGAAUAAGCACCGGCUAACUUCGUG
Molecule: ribosomal RNA, 484 nt
Filed under: uncultured bacterium
Lineage: Bacteria
Description: partial 16S ribosomal RNA
Rfam family: Bacterial small subunit ribosomal RNA
Source: RNAcentral